Molecule: RNA transcript, 3847 nt
Organism: Carya illinoinensis
Lineage: Eukaryota; Viridiplantae; Streptophyta; Magnoliopsida; Fagales; Juglandaceae
Exons: 3
Source: RefSeq, a predicted model, not a curated record
GGAUAGCUGAUGAGAAACAAGACCAACAUAGAUAUAGAAAGUCAUUUCCUUGCGGCCACUUACAGAGAUUCUUCGAAUUAUAGGAUACAGGGGGUUCCCUAAUUGGCUGCAAAGGCCAUUUGCUGCCAUCGAGCUUUUAAAAUCAGAUGAUGGCUUCUCUCUCAUCUCCAUCCUCUCCCAGGCAGAAGUUAUCUAUCCCAUUAGCGAGGACUCCAAUUAGAAUUCCUGCGGCUAUCCACUUACUUAAGUUGUGCCGCAACUUACAGGAAGUAAAACAAAUGCAUGCUCGGUUGGUUGUGUCCGGAUUCCUUGAACUCCCUUCGAGUGCUGGGAGGCUACUCGAGUCAUAUGUUACAGUGUCACAGCUCAAAUUUGCCAUUUUACUCUUUCAGAGACUACCUUCUCCUGAUGUAUUUGCAUACAACACCAUGAUUAGAGGCCUAACACUGGGUAAGUCUCCCCAUGAUUCCAUCUUACUGUAUAAUGAGCUGUUGCUAGAUGGUAUAGCCCCGGACAAUUACACUUACACCUUUGUCCUCAAAGCAUGUUCCCAUUUGGAAGCGCUCUCUGAAGGUAAACAAGUGCACGGCCAGAUAAUUAAAUCUGGAAUAGCGCCCAAUACCCACGUUCAUAGCAUUCUGAUACAUAUGUACACGAUUUCAGAUAGCAUUGUUUGUGCAGAACGAGUUCUUGCACAAUUCUCAGAAGAGAACACGCUUGCUAAGAAUUCUUUAGUCUCUGGGUAUCUAAGUCAAGGCCAUGUGGAAAAGGCUAGAAUACUGUUUGAAACCAUAGAGACAAAAGACGUUGCAUCUUGGAGCGCAAUGGUCACAGGAUACACGAAGAACGGCAUGUAUUCAGAGGCAUUAGUUGUCUUUCGGGACAUGAUGGUUUCCCAAGUCCAUCCAAAUGAAUCAACAUUCGUGAGCUCGUUGUGUGCCUGUGCUUAUUCGGGGGCACUGGACCAGGGAAGAUGGAUACAUGCAUAUCUUGAUAAAGCAGGGGUUAAGAUUAGUGUUACUCUGGGUACUGCUCUUAUCGACAUGUAUGCCAAGUGUGGCAGCAUCAAAUGUGGCUAUGAUAUCUUCCGAAGUAUGCCUCAGAGAGAUAUAGUAACAUGGGGAGUAAUUAUAUCUGGAUUCGCCAUGCAUGGUGAAGCUGAAAUAUGUUUUCAAUUGUUUGAUGAGAUGGUUGCUAGCGGAACACAUCCAAACGAAGUGAUAUUUGUGGCUAUAUUAUCUGCUUGCUCCCAUGCGGGAUAUGUUGAACUUGGACAUCAGUAUUUCUAUAAAAUGAUUCAUGAUUUUGGGAUUAGACCAACAAUUGAGCAUUAUGGAUGCAUGGUGGACCUGCUUGGCCGUGCGGGGCAGUUGUCAGAAGCAGAAGAGCUGAUUGCGUCAAUGCCAGGAGAGCCUAAUUCGAUUAUAUGGGGAGCGUUUCUCAGCGGUUGUAGGACCUACGCUGACGUGAGGAGAGGAAGUCGUGCAUUCAGAUGCCUUAUUGAUCUCGAGCCAAUGUCAGGAGACAGGUAUAAACUUGCAGGGCUCAUGUUGGCCAGUGCUGGUGAAAAAGCUGAUGCAACUAAAAUUAGGGGAUUCAUCAAGCAAAAUGACUUGGAGACAACAUGUGGAACCAGCCUCGUUGAAAUAGAUGGCGUCGUCCAUGAGUUCACAGUAGGGGAUGUAGAUCGUAGAAAGCUUAGAGAGAUCUACGGAUUAUGGAAUGGCUUUUGAGGAUGACAUAUAUAUAAUAUACACAUAGGGGACUCGGAGGUUUAACAGUGAAUUGUAGGAAAAGGGAACACAACCCGUUUAAGAAAGCGAAAAAGGAAACAAAAGCAGAAAUAAAAUUACCCUUCAUGGAUUGGCCAGCGUGCAUGACAGUGGCCUCCCUCUUAUCUCUCUAUGGUCUUUCUCUCUCUCUGUGCGCGCGGGCGUGCGCAUGUGCUCGUGGAGGGUUGAGCAGGAAUGUUGCCUUUUCGAUCUUGAUGAGAAGAAAUGCAAAAGCAAAGUCACGAGUGUAUUCAUUUCAAGUCAAAUAUAACAAGUGUGGUAUAUAUUGACUAUUCAAUUUGCAUAGAUAAAGUUACACCAAAUGAAUUGAUCAUAUUGAUGCUGCUAACACUUAGGUAUCAAGAACAAAUAUUGCUCUCUGAAUUCUAAAACCGUAUAGAAUUGAAAGGUCCUUGGUGUAGAUUAGUGCUCAACUGAAUUAGCAAAAAUGGUAUCACCAUAUAUACCAGGGAGUUUUGAGUCUAGAAUUGUAUAAAUGCCGGAACUGCUUCAUUACGGCCAUACACCACGGACCAGGAAAGUUGCUUGUUUAACUGUAUUAACCCGAAGGUAAAAAAAUACAUAUACCGAAAGAGAUGGUAGCGGCACCAUAUAACUUGUGACUUCAGAACUGAACUACUAAGACCGGAGUAUUCCUUGGUACAGAAUAAUUGAGUUGACAUAUGCUAUGCUAUGGCGCAAUUAGGGGACACAAAGGCAUCCAUUCUAUUGCUUACAUUGAUAUAUAUAUAUAUAUAUAUUAUGUAGUGAGAUAGGUGGCUUACAUUGCUGAUAAUUAUGAUCGUAUACUCGACUCUCAAAGGCAUCCAUUCUAUUGCUUGAUUAAGCUCCUAGGAUUGGAAAAAUAAUUCCUUCCCAUCUUAUAGACCGUUCUACACACACACGUACAUAAACGUGUCGAGUUACUCGAGACAGUAAUGAUAAUAAUUACUACAUGACAGUGAUUAUGAAGUGAAGAUCGUAAUUAAGUGGAUUUUGUAUCUUUAAAUUAUUGAGAUUAUAUUUUUAUAUUUUAGAUUAUUAAUAUGUAAUCUGUCAAUUUUAAUAAUUUAAACAACCUUGAAUGUAUAAAGGGUGGUCUGGGUAUCGCCCAUAAAAAUUAAAAAAACCCAGACCGUCCUUUUCCUUUCCUUCCACGUUACCAAAACCAGUGGAUAAAUCUAAAAACGAAAAAAAAAAAACCCAAUUCCUUCCCCCCCUCUCUCGUCUCGACUCCUCACGAUCCAGUAACCCAAAAGGAAAAGAGACGUUUUUAUUUUCGACUUUGAAUUCUAAAUAAAACUAGCCUUCUAUUUGUUACCGUGUGUAUAUAUAGUUAUUAUCGGCGACGAUGCGUAUCAUUUCCUGAUUUUGGGAUUUCCAGAUCGAAACAGUUCCGUCCAAUCCUCAAUCGCUGAUAAAAAAAAAAAAAGUACUUCACUCACAGGCUCUGGGUUCCUUGUGGCACUGCCUCAUGCUUGCGCUUGCUUGAAUGCUAGUACGCUAUGUUACUAGAUAGACGGUUGGCUGCUGCGCUAUAGAUCUCAGCGGGAGGGUCUUUUUCUUUGCUUGCAGAAUUGAUCCUAUUUGCUAUUCUAUCACCCCUCAUUGUGAGAUCCUAUUGGGUGAUGGGUCAAAGAUGUGCUUUUGACACAAUGUGUGGUGUGGCGAGCAAUCUUUUAGAAGUGCAUUACUGGUGUUGUUUAGAGUUGCUAGCAUGAAGGGAGAUUAUCUUGUGGAUCACUAUCAUCAUAGUAUGAGUUUUCACCAGGGAGGCAAUGACUAGGAGAUGGAUCUCUUUUCAUCUUUCUUUGACAGAUUAUACUCUUGUAUGGGAUGAGAUGGAAAAGAUAAAAUGGUUUGGAUUCCAUCUAGGAGAUGUGUUUUCGAGGUGAAGUCAUACUACAAUGCACUUUGUAAUCAUGUCAAGGCUCCUUCCCCAUGAAAGCUCAUUUGAAGAAACAGGCUCCUCCAAGAGUGGCUAUCUUCAUGUUGACAACGGUAGUAGGGAAAAUCCUCACGCUAGACAAUGCGGGGAAUUGCUGGACACAAAAAUGUCUGAGUACCAAGGGGAU